CUGGGGGCAUGUUCCCAAGUCAGGAAAAGCCCUCCCUUCACUGCCGAGGAGUUUUAUUUACUCUCCUCUUUUCUUCUUCUCCCUGUGUGUCUGGAGGUGGAAUCCAGCCAGUUCUGAUGCUGUGGACCUUGUUUUUUCCCCUCAGAUCUUGAUUUCAGUGAUGUUAGUUCUCAUUGGAGCAAGUCAGGGGAGGUUCAAGCCCCAGGUGGUGUUAUGGUGCAGGCAGGAGCAGAGCGACAGGAGUGUUUACAACAGAGAAAAUGAAGAGUGAGGAACAUCCUGUUGAAAAAUGUGCUACACUGAUUCAUCUUAAGGUCAGAAUUGCUGUACUAAGAAUUCAACCUUCAGAAGAGCUCCAUCUCGGCUCCUUAGAGGCACACAAAAUGUUGACAAAUUGCUCUGCCACUUCCAAAGGAAAAAAAAAUAGCAAGGUAUGUCUACAUUUUCUUUCAGUUCAUUUUCUUUGUAAGAAAAUACACAGUUGCACUCAGGGGGCAUGCAGGACUUAGUAUUUGCUAGACUAUCUCUGACAGGCGUUUGUCUAACCUGCUCUUAAAAAUAUCAAAUGAUGGAGAUUCCACAGCCUCUCUAGGCAAUUUAUUCCAGUACGUAACUCUUCUGAUAGAACGUUUUUCCUAAUGUCCAACCUAAACUGUCCUUGCUGCAAUUUAAGCCCAUAGUUUCUUUUCAUAUCCUCAGGGGUUAAGGAGAACAAUUUUCCUCUAGUCCUUGUACCAGCCUUUUACAUAUUUGAAAACCAUUAUGUCCCCUCUCAGCCUUCUCUAUUCCAGACAAAACAAACCCAUUUUUUUCCAACCUUCCCACACAGGUCACGUUUUCUAGACCUUUAAUCAUUUUGUUGCUUUUUUUUUUUUUGGACUUUCUCCAAUUUGUCCUUAUCUUUUCUGAAAUGUGGUGCCCAGAACUGGACACAAUACUCCAGUUGAGGCCUAAUCAACAUGGAAUGUAGUGGAAGAAUUAUUUCUUGUGUCUCGCUUACAACACUUCUGCUAAUACAUCCCAGAAUGAUGUUUGGUUUUUUUGCAACAGUGUUACGCUGCUGACUCAUAUUUAGCUUGUGAUCCACUUAUGACUCCCAGAUCGUUUUCUGCAGUUCUCCUUCCUGGGAAGUCAUUUCCCAUUUUCUAUGUGUGUGUACUUGCAUUUGUCCUUAUUGAAUUUCAUCUUAUUUACUUCAGACCAUUUCAAAAAUUAAUCUUAUGCUCCAAAGCCGUUGCAACUCCUCCUAGCUUGGUAUUAUCUGCAAACUUUAGAAGUAUACUCUCUGAGUCAUUAUCUAAAUAACUGAUUAUAUUGAACAGAACCAGACCCAGAACAGAUCCCUGAAGGACCCCACUCAAUAUAUCCUUCCAGCUUGAUGACUACUCUCUGGGAAUGGUUCCCAGCCAGUUAUGCACCCCCUUUAUAGUAGUUCUAGGUUGUAUUUCCCUAGUUUGUUUAUAAGAAAGUCAUGCGAGACAGUAUCAAAAGCUUUACUAAAGUCAAGAUGUACCACAUCUAGCAGUUCCCCUCAUCUACAAAGCUUGUUACCCUGUCAAAGAAAGCUAUUAGGUUGGUUUGACUUGAUUUGUUAUUGACAAAUCCAUGCUGACUGUUAUUUAUUACCUUAUUAUCUCCUAGGUGUUUGCAAAUUGAUUGCUUAAGUAUUUGCUCCAUUAUCUUUCUGGGUAUUGAAAUUAAGUUGACUGGUCUGUAAUUCCCCAGAUUGUCCUUAUUUCCCUUUUUAUAGAUUGGCCCUAUAUUUGCCCCUUUCUAGUUGCCUGGAGUGUCUCUCCCAUCUUUCAUAACUUUUUGAAGAUAAUAGCUAAUGGGUCAGAUAUAUCCUUAAUCAGCUACUUGAAUAUUCUAGGAUGUAUUUCAUCAGGCCUUGGUGACUUGAAGACAUCCACAUUGUCUAAGAAAAUUUUUAACUUGUUCUUUCCCUAUUUUAGCCUCUGAUCAUACUUCAUUUUCACUGGCAUUCACUAUGUUAGAUGUCCAAUUGCUACUAACCUUUUUUCUGAAAACCAAAACAAAAAAGUCAUUUAGCACUUCUUCCAUUCCUACAUUUUUAGUUAUUGUCACCUCCUCACUUGAGUAACUGGCCUACACUGUCCUUGGUUUUCAUCCUGCUUCUAAUGUAGUUGUAGAGUGUUUUCCUGUUGCCCUUAAUGUCUCUAGGUAGUUUAAUCUCAUUUUGUGCCUUGGCCUUUCUAAUUUUGUCACUAUAUUCUUGCAUUAUUUGUUCAUAUUAAUCCUUUAUCAUUUGACCUAGUUUUCACAUUUUGUAAGACUCUUUUUUGAGGUUCAGAUCUCCUUGUUAAACCAGGGUGGUCUCCUGCCAUACUUUCUAGCUUUCCUAUGCAGGGGGAUAGCUUACUCUUGUGCCCUUAAUAAUGGCUCUUUGAAAAACUGCCAGCUCUCUUAAACUGUUUUUCUUCUUAGAUCUGCUUCCCAGGCACCUUACCUACCAACUCCCUGAGCUUGUUAAAGUCUGCAUUCUUGAAAUGCAUUGUCUUUACUCUGCUGUUUUCUCUCCUACCAUUCCUUAGAAUUAUGAACUUUACCAUUUCAUGAUCUCAUUCACCUAAGCUGCCUUCCACUUCCAAAUUCUCAACUAGUUCCUCCCUAUUUUUCAAAAUCAAAUCUAGAACAGCCUCUCCCCUAGUAGCUUUCUCCAGUUUCUGAAAUAAAAAAAAAUAGUAUUUACA
Gopherus agassizii (Agassiz's desert tortoise) is the source of this 2711-nucleotide long non-coding RNA. NCBI's taxonomy places the organism in Eukaryota, Metazoa, Chordata, Testudines, Testudinidae. The record is from Ensembl.